GCGCUCGUAGCUCAACGGAUAGAGCUACCGGUUUCUACCCGGUCGGUUGGGGGUUCGAGUCCCUUCGGGCGCA
This 73-nucleotide transfer RNA is filed under the name Actinomycetota bacterium. Its description in RNAcentral is "Actinobacteria bacterium tRNA-Arg". It matches the Rfam family "tRNA". From Rfam's summary of the family: Transfer RNA (tRNA) molecules are approximately 80 nucleotides in length. Their secondary structure includes four short double-helical elements and three loops (D, anti-codon, and T loops). The record is from RNAcentral. Lineage: Bacteria; Bacillati; Actinomycetota.